CGCUGCUAUUCAUAUGCAAAUUGGAGGCGUUCGCACCUCCGGGAGCUCCGCUGACGUCAUGGUUCGUUUCCGACAAUUUUCGGCACAGACAAACGCCACGUUCACAGCCGGUAAAUUGCCCCAAUAAUACCCAACUGCAGCCACUGCGACCCCCGAAGCCACUACAAACCACGCCCCAUAAAACCACGCCUACUUGUUGCUACGGUGGCCGGGAAGGACGAUUAAACUCACAGCAGCAAAUGCAAGCAGUCAAAGAAGAAGAAGAAGAAGGCAAAAGCAGCCAAGACAAGACGGCAAUGCCAGUUCAGAGUCCACAGGACAUCGACCACAUGUACAGCAAGAGGCCUUACAGCUCUCCACCCAGAGAGCAUGUUAAUGACUAUAAUGACAGCAUGGACUAACAUGAUGUGGUCACCACAACCAGAGACGUUGGGAUCCUGAGUGAAGACGCAUCUUUCGACAGGCUUGUGGUGAGGACAUGCAAAGGAUCAACAAACAACAAAUCUUAUUUGAUAUACUUAACCAGAAUAAUUACGUUUAACAUCUGAAUGCUGUUUGAUCAAAUUUUAGGAAAGGGCUCAGCAAGCUGAACACCAUAGAAAAGUCACUAGUGACCUUCAUGUAACGUUCAUCACUCAGGAUAACGGUCUACUGCAACAUCUUGAAGUGAGUUUGAAAAUGGAAUUUAAGUCACAUAGUGUAACUAAUUUUGGUCAAAAUAUGUUAAAUGAAUGAUUUAAGUGAAACAUUUUCUGUUAGCCUAGUGUUCGUACAUUUAUUUUGAGCAUUCUCCUAAGAAAUAUAUAUAUUUACAGGCGGUCAUCACAUGAAAAGUUACAUCCUCAUGGGCAACAUCAAAGGGCAGGGUGAUCAUUUUCUUUGUGGAGGAUGAGCAGCUGGACAGAGUGCUGGGCUUCUUGACAAGCCUGGUUGAAGCACAGACAACCAGGUGUCACAAUCACGUGGCAUUUGUUAUGGAUGUGCUUCUGCCAGAGGUAAAUUAUGAAACUUUUUUAUUUAUUAUAUUAACAUGUUUUGUAUAAUUGUUAUUAUUGUCAGUCUUUAACUUAUGGUUAAUAUCUUGUUAACUGCAACAUGACAGACAACUUAAAUGUCUAAAUGAAAGAUGUCCUUUUGUUCACCUCAUGACACAGGCAACAGUCCACGCCCUUUCAGCUGUCCAUGCAUUUUCCAUUGACAGAGCCACAGAAGUGUAUAAAUGUUGACUGCAGUAUGACUUGAGGUAUGCUACAUACAUAAGGAGAGUGCUAAUACCUAUAAGUAUUGUUUUUUACCUUGUUUAUGACAGCCUUUCCGUGUUAAUUUCCUUUUACUAAUCGCUAUUUUCUUCCAUUUUGUCUCAUCAGUGAAAAACGGCUGUUGGCUCAUUACAUGACAAACAACAUGAGCAAGGAGGCUCUACAGCAACUAGAAAAAUAUGCUGAAAAACUCAGAAGAGCUCUGGACUCUGAGGAGUUUUUGAAGACGCUUUAGUAUGUAUGUAGGAUGAAUUAAAAAAUAGUCUGUGAAAUGAUAAUGUUUUAUUUUAUUGCCAAUAAAAGUUGUUGCUGGCUAAUUCAUUUGUCUCAACUUUUGUGUUUUGAGGUACAUAUUUUAAAGACCUGUGUAUGGUCAUAUUUAUAAAUGCAUAAAUACAUUUUAUUUGUGUCCAGCAGUCUUUUCUGUUAACCCAU
Molecule: long non-coding RNA, 1694 nt
Organism: Sparus aurata (gilthead seabream)
Lineage: Eukaryota; Metazoa; Chordata; Actinopteri; Spariformes; Sparidae
Source: Ensembl